AGUCGAGCGAGAAGUCACCUUCGGGUGGCGAGUAAAGCGGCGCACGGGUGAGUAACACGUGAGUAACGUACCCUUGGGUGCGGGAUAACCUUUCGAAAGGAUGGCUAAUACCGCAUAAGACCACAACGCCUUAUGGCGAAGGGGUCAAAGCUUUAGUGCCCAAGGAUCGGCUCGCGGUCCAUUAGAUAGUUGGCGGGGUAAUGGCCCACCAAGUCCAAGAUGGAUAGCUGGUCUGAGAGGAUGAUCAGCCACACUGGAACUGAGACACGGUCCAGACUCCUACGGGAGGCAGCAGUGGGGAAUAUUGCGCAAUGGACGAAAGUCUGACGCAGCAACGCCGCGUGUGUGAUGAAGGCUUUCGGGUCGUAAAGCACUGUCAGGAGGGAAGAAACAAAGACGGUACCUCCAAAGGAAGCACCGGCUAACUCCGUGCCAGCAGCCGCGGUAAUACGGAGGGUGCAAACGUUGUUCGGAAUCAUUGGGCGUAAAGCGCACGUAGGCGGCUUAUUAAGUCGGAUGUGAAAUCCCGGGGCUCAACCUCGGAAUGCCAUUGGAAACUGAUAAGCUUGAGAGUGAGAGGGGUUAGUGGAAUUGCUGGUGUAGGGGUGAAAUCCGUAG
Molecule: ribosomal RNA, 618 nt
Filed under: uncultured bacterium
Lineage: Bacteria
Description: bacterial SSU rRNA
Rfam family: Bacterial small subunit ribosomal RNA
Source: RNAcentral